Molecule: transfer RNA, 73 nt
Filed under: Camelus bactrianus (Bactrian camel)
Lineage: Eukaryota; Metazoa; Chordata; Mammalia; Artiodactyla; Camelidae
Also listed under: 2 other names
Rfam family: tRNA
About the family: Transfer RNA (tRNA) molecules are approximately 80 nucleotides in length. Their secondary structure includes four short double-helical elements and three loops (D, anti-codon, and T loops).
Source: Rfam by way of RNAcentral
GAGGGUAUAGCUCAAAUGGUAGAGUGCAUGCUUAGCAAGCAUGAGGUCCUGGGUUCAAUCCCCAGUACCUCCU